RNAcentral lists this ribosomal RNA (505 nucleotides) under uncultured Desulfobulbus sp. Its description in RNAcentral is "bacterial SSU rRNA". It matches the Rfam family "Bacterial small subunit ribosomal RNA", at positions 880 to 1382 of the family's 1533-position model. Lineage: Bacteria; Pseudomonadati; Thermodesulfobacteriota; Desulfobulbia; Desulfobulbales; Desulfobulbaceae. The record is from RNAcentral.
UUGCCAGCCCGCUCAGAAACUCAAAUGAAUUGACGGGGCCCGCACAAGCGGUGGAGUAUGUGGUUAAUUCGAUGCAACGCGAAGAACCUUACCUGGUCUUGACAUCCCGGAGACCCUUAGGAAACUAGGGGGUGCUUCCAUCUGGAAGAAUCUGGAGACAGGUGCUGCAUGGCUGUCGUCAGCUCGUGUCGUGAGAUGUUGGGUUAAGUCCCGCAACGAGCGCAACCCUUGCCUUUAGUUGCCAGCAGUUCGGCUGGGCACUCUAAAGGGACUGCCGGUGUUAAACCGGAGGAAGGUGGGGAUGACGUCAAGUCCUCAUGGCCUUUAUGACCAGGGCUACACACGUACUACAAUGGCCGAUACAAAGGGCAGCGACACUGCGAGGUGAAGCCAAUCCCGUAAAAUCGGUCUCAGUCCGGAUUGGAGUCUGCAACUCGACUCCAUGAAGUUGGAAUCGCUAGUAAUCGUGGAUCAGCACGCCACGGUGAAUACGUUCCCGGGCCUU